Molecule: long non-coding RNA, 622 nt
Filed under: Nicotiana benthamiana
Lineage: Eukaryota; Viridiplantae; Streptophyta; Magnoliopsida; Solanales; Solanaceae
Description: long non-coding RNA (NBEN_LNC010371)
Source: RNAcentral
GCAAUUUUCCGGUGACCUAAGUGACUAAUUGCGUCAAAAUCACUAAUUAUCAGUGUUGUGCAAAAACCAACACCACCACAAGGUUCCCAAGAGAGACCCGACCAAACCCCAGCAAACCCCACCGGAAAACUGCCCUUCACGAGCCCUCACGCGCCAGAUUUAUCAAGGCAGAUCAGACUCACGCGCCCCACGCGCCGGGGCGUGAGCACUGUUCCGGUGAGAUUCUGACGAAGGUCCUUCAGGGCAGUUGGAUCGCCCUCAAAUUCCGAGCCUACCCAUAUUUUUACUUUUCAAUUCGACCACUUUGAAGUUUUUCCGGCAUCUACAGUAUUUUUCCGGCAAAAACAGUAUUUCCUUCAUCUGUUUCAGCAAGUUUUCAACGAUGUCUUUGGGACUCGAUGCUUUCGGGUCUAGAAACCCGGGUUCGAUUUGAAGUUUUUCGGCAUCUACAGUGAUAUAUUCCGGGAUCUACAGUACUUUUCCGGCAAAAACAGUAUUUCCUUCAUCUACUUCAGCAAGUUUUCAACGAUGUCUUUGGGACACGAUGCUUUCGGGUCUAGAAACCCGGGUUCGAUAUUAACUAUAUAUGUAACAAGUUCGGUACAUAUGAUUUAUAUGCACC